Ixodes scapularis (black-legged tick) is the source of this 191-nucleotide RNA transcript. RefSeq lists it as uncharacterized. The transcript has 3 exons. NCBI's taxonomy places the organism in Eukaryota, Metazoa, Arthropoda, Arachnida, Ixodida, Ixodidae. The record is from RefSeq and is a predicted model, not a curated record.
UCUGUGCACGGAUUACGUGCACCUUCGACUGCACAACAGCAACCAGAGUAACAAUCCACUCACCUUUGCCUGGGGUGACAGCCCGGAUUAUGACGUGCCUGAAUCCGAAGAUUCCCCAACUACAUGGCAUGAAAGAGCGGCGGAGGAAGUGUUCGCCAUUACGGAGUCCACCCAUUACGUCGGGAUGUGGG